This 495-nucleotide ribosomal RNA is filed under the name uncultured bacterium. Its description in RNAcentral is "partial 16S ribosomal RNA". It matches the Rfam family "Bacterial small subunit ribosomal RNA", at positions 28 to 507 of the family's 1533-position model. The record is from RNAcentral.
GACGAACGCUGGCGGCGUGCCUAAUACAUGCAAGUAGAACGCUGAAGGAGGAGCUUGCUCUUCUGGAUGAGUUGCGAACGGGUGAGUAACGCGUAGGUAACCUGCCUGGUAGCGGGGGAUAACUAUUGGAAACGAUAGCUAAUACCGCAUAAGAGUAGAUGUUGCAUGACAUUUACUUAAAAGGUGCAAUUGCAUCACUACCAGAUGGACCUGCGUUGUAUUAGCUAGUUGGUGGGGUAACGGCUUACCAAGGCGACGAUACAUAGCCGACCUGAGAGGGUGAUCGGCCACACUGGGACUGAGACACGGCCCAGACUCCUACGGGAGGCAGCAGUAGGGAAUCUUCGGCAAUGGACGGAAGUCUGACCGAGCAACGCCGCGGGAGUGAAGAAGGUUUUCGGAUCGGAAAGCUCGGUUGUAAGAGAAGAACGAGUGUGAGAGUGGAAAGUUCACACUGUGACGGUAUCUUACCAGAAAGGGACGGCUAACUACGUG